This 1117-nucleotide long non-coding RNA is filed under the name Gallus gallus (chicken). Its description in RNAcentral is "lncRNA (ENSGALG00010019824.1)". Lineage: Eukaryota; Metazoa; Chordata; Aves; Galliformes; Phasianidae. The record is from RNAcentral.
CUGACAUAUGUACAAAAAACAAUAAGCAGUAAGUUGUAUAUUGAAUACUGCAUGCAAGUGAGAACCAUUUUAUACGACACUUUGAAACAGAGAAAAAUUAAGUUUCAUCACUAUACUGACAGAGCUGGACACUGAAGCUUCUGGUCUUCCUUUUUGCUGACAAGAUACACCAAUGUGCCUUGAAACUCGUCUCUGGCAUUGGCCUGUAUUGCCAAGAGGCUGAUCUUACUGACAGUGAAUACUUUCUUUCAAUACACAACACACACAUGGGAUGCAGAGUUUCUUUGGUUCCUGCAGAUGCUCAGGAAAUGCUGUAUCAACCACAAGGUCUUUUAAUGAUUGACAUUUCAAUGCACUGCAAGAGCAUCAGAGAGUAAGAGAUUACAGUGUGCUGCAGGCAGAAGGUCCGUGCUGCAUAAAAACGUAUUCUCUUCAUUAUUACCUAUUUGACAAAGAUUUAAGAGGGUUUUUGCAGCUGAGGCCACACAGAAAAGAUUACAAAUCAUUUCCAAAAGACAAAUUGCAAAAAGCCUGGGUAAUUUCCAGUGAGAUGUACUCGCCUACAUGAAGGAGUUGAUGAAAGCCCACCUUUAGAGUGCAAUACACGCGCUGCUCACAUCAUGGGAAGGAAACUGGAAAUGGCAGCCAGCAAUCGUGUUGGCUGAAAACUUUAGGUAUUAAAUAUUCUUCCACUGGAAAAUGGGAUUUGGUUGAACUGGUAAACAGGGAAAUAUUCUGUGUUGGUUUGUUUCUCUGUUUGUUUUACCGUUAGCAAAAGAAAAGGCAUAUGUUUUGCCUGCAGCUGUGUGAAGGAGGAAUUGACAUUGGAAUCAGAGGCACUGCAAGGCUGCUUCAGUGGAAGAAAUCGGUGGAAGACAAAGCUCCAGGAGCUCCAAGCAUGGGAAAGGCUGCAGGUCCAAGGCAGGAUAAUGAGACAAUGAAAUGGAGUAUGUUCCUUAGUCCAAGCAGCUUCCCUCUGAGCUCUGAACAAACAUUUGAAUUUUGUGUGGUCCUGUGUGGAGCCAGGAAUUGUACUCAGUGAUCUCUGUGAGUCCCUUCCAACUUGGGUUAAUCUAUGAUUCCAUGAAUUGGUGUCUAAAGAGCUUUAAUACUGCUG